Molecule: ribosomal RNA, 197 nt
Filed under: uncultured bacterium
Lineage: Bacteria
Description: partial 16S ribosomal RNA
Rfam family: Bacterial small subunit ribosomal RNA
Source: RNAcentral
ACGCUCUACACCUACGGGAGCAGCAGUGGGGAAUAUUGCACAAUGGGGGAAACCCUGAUGCAGCGACGCCGCGUGAGUGAAGAAGUAUUUCGGUAUGUAAAGCUCUAUCAGCAGGGAAGAGAAUGACGGUACCUGACUAAGAAGCCCCGGCUAACUACGUGUCAGCAGCCGCGGUAAUCUGAGCGGGCUGGCAAGGC